CAAUAGCGUAUAUUAUUGAUGUUGCAGUUGAAACGUUCGUAGUCGAAUCUUAUCUGCCAAAGCAUUGUGUCAUUUAUGAUGACAUAAUGCUCUCGGCGGAGAUUGUACAAGCAUGUCUGACCUUGUAUCUUACUUUGAGUGAAUCGGCGUGUUCCACGCAGGCAUGUGCCUUGAACGAUUUACCAUAGCAUAAUCAGAGUAUGGAACUGCUUCCUUGUUUGUUCGGAAGCUCUUUCGAUACUGAUAGGAACGGUUGAGGGCAUUCGUAUUCGACUGCUAGAGGUGAAAUUCUUUGAUUAGUCGAGGACGAACUAUUGCGAAAGCAUCUGCCAAGGACGUUUNCUUUGA
RNAcentral lists this ribosomal RNA (348 nucleotides) under uncultured eukaryote. RNAcentral's name for it is "partial 18S ribosomal RNA". It matches the Rfam family "Eukaryotic small subunit ribosomal RNA", at positions 592 to 976 of the family's 1831-position model. The record is from RNAcentral.